UACGUAGGGUGCGAGCGUUGUCCGGAAUUAUUGGGCGUAAAGAGCUUGUAGGCGGUCUGUCGCGUCUGCUGUGAAAAUCCGGGACUCAACCCCGGACUUGCAGUGGGUACGGGCAGACUAGAGUGUGGUAGGGGAGACUGGAAUUCCUGGUGUAGCGGUGAAAUGCGCAGAUAUCAGGAGGAACACCGAUGGCGAAGGCAGGUCUCUGGGCCACUACUGACGCUGAGACGCGAAAGCGUGGGGAGCAAACAGG
RNAcentral lists this ribosomal RNA (253 nucleotides) under uncultured bacterium. RNAcentral describes it as "partial 16S ribosomal RNA". It matches the Rfam family "Bacterial small subunit ribosomal RNA", at positions 524 to 776 of the family's 1533-position model. The record is from RNAcentral.